Molecule: ribosomal RNA, 253 nt
Filed under: uncultured bacterium
Lineage: Bacteria
Description: partial 16S ribosomal RNA
Rfam family: Bacterial small subunit ribosomal RNA
Source: RNAcentral
UACGGAGGGUGCAAGCGUUGUCCGGAUUUAUUGGGUUUAAAGGGUGCGUAGGCGGCUCUUUAAGUCAGUGGUGAAAGCCGACAGCUUAACUGUCGAAAUGCCAUUGAUACUGGGGAGCUUGAGUACAGUAGAGGUAGGCGGAAUUAAUGGUGUAGCGGUGAAAUGCAUAGAUACCAUUAAGAACACCGAUUGCGAAGGCAGCUUACUAUAGUGUAACUGACGCUGAGGCACGAAAGCGUGGGGAGCAAACAGG